ACAACAAUAAUGAUAAUAUUGUUAAUAAUGAUAAAUUAAUUAUUAAUACUAUGGGUAUUUUGGUAAAUUGAUUCUCAUUACUAUUCCUUAUUCCCAUUUAUUUUGCCAAGUAAACACAUCAAUGGCAUUCCAGCACAUUUCCAUUCUCAUUUAUUUUUGCCAAAUAAACAUUGAAAUCUUAUUUCCAUUCCUCAUUCUCAUUACAGUUCAUUCUCAUUCUCAGCUCAUUCUCAUUCCACUCCAUUCCAAUUUCAUGAAAUAAACACACCAUAAAAGUAUUAUCUUACUGGUAACCCAUGCCCGCACAGUGCUCAGGUUCUAAAAUAAUUUGGAGAAUGCUGCAGUAGUCCCUCAAUGUGUAUGAGCUACUCAAACAUAAACAUGUUUACUUUGGUGCACUUAAUUCAUCAACAUCAAGUUGCAAAUCCAAAUGCGAGAUAUAUUUGUGAUUAACACUAAAAAGUGUACGUGUAAUAAGGAUAAAAUUAUUAGUUUUUCACUUAAAGUGUUGAUUAAUGCGCGUAUAACUUAUAAAUUAUAUGAAUGCUCCCCAAAUAAAUUUUUCUGUUAAAUUAAUUCGCAAUAUGUUAAUUUUUACCUUAUAAAUAUUUUUUAGGAAUAAAUUGGAAUUGAAAGCGUGAACAAAUAAGGAUUACUGGAGCGAUUUGGAAGCAUUAUUGAGGAGAUGUAAAUAAAUAAAACAUAAUAAAAAAAUAAAAAAGAAUAAAAAAAUUAAAAAAAAAAAGAACAAAAAAACAAAAACCAAAUUGUUUGGCUUCUCGUGAUGGCCACUUGACCAUUACACAUUUCAAUGUACAU
RNAcentral lists this long non-coding RNA (819 nucleotides) under Citrus x clementina. Its description in RNAcentral is "Citrus clementina (C. clementina) long non-coding RNA (CCLE_LNC002147)". Lineage: Eukaryota; Viridiplantae; Streptophyta; Magnoliopsida; Sapindales; Rutaceae. The record is from RNAcentral.